Molecule: ribosomal RNA, 494 nt
Filed under: uncultured bacterium
Lineage: Bacteria
Description: partial 16S ribosomal RNA
Rfam family: Bacterial small subunit ribosomal RNA
Source: RNAcentral
ACGAACGCUGGCGGCGUGCCUAAUACAUGCAAGUAGCACGCUGAAGGCGGAGCUUGCUUCUCUGGAUGAGUUGCGAACGGGUGAGUAACGCGUAGGUAACCUGCCUGGUAGCGGGGGAUAACUAUUGGAAACGAUAGCUAAUACCGCAUAAGAGUAGAUGUUGCAUGACAUUUGCUUAAAAGGUGCAAUUGCAUCACUACCAGAUGGACCUGCGUUGUAUUAGCUAGUUGGUGGGGUAACGGCUCACCAAGGCGACGAUACAUAGCCGACCUGAGAGGGUGAUCGGCCACACUGGGACUGAGACACGGCCCAGACUCCUACGGGAGGCAGCAGUAGGGAAUCUUCGGCAAUGGACGGAAGUCUGACCGAGCAACGCCGCGGGAGUGAAGAAGGUUUUCGGAUCGUAAAGCUCUGUUGUAAGAGAAGAACGAGUGUGAGAGUGGAAAGUUCACACUGUGACGGUAUCUGACCAGAAAGGGACGGCUAACUACGUG